Molecule: ribosomal RNA, 695 nt
Filed under: uncultured bacterium
Lineage: Bacteria
Description: bacterial SSU rRNA
Rfam family: Bacterial small subunit ribosomal RNA
Source: RNAcentral
UAACGCGUGAGGAACCUGCCUCAAAGAGGGGGACAACAGUUGGAAACGACUGCUAAUACCGCAUAAGCCCACAGCUCGGCAUCGAGCAGAGGGAAAAGGAGCAAUCCGCUUUGAGAUGGCCUCGCGUCCGAUUAGCUAGUUGGUGAGGUAAUGGCCCACCAAGGCGACGAUCGGUAGCCGGACUGAGAGGUUGAACGGCCACAUUGGGACUGAGACACGGCCCAGACUCCUACGGGAGGCAGCAGUGGGGAAUAUUGCACAAUGGGGGAAACCCUGAUGCAGCGACGCCGCGUGGAGGAAGAAGGUCUUCGGAUUGUAAACUCCUGUUGUUGAGGAAGAUAAUGACGGUACUCAACAAGGAAGUGACGGCUAACUACGUGCCAGCAGCCGCGGUAAAACGUAGGUCACAAGCGUUGUCCGGAAUUACUGGGUGUAAAGGGAGCGCAGGCGGGAAGACAAGUUGGAAGUGAAAUCUAUGGGCUCAACCCAUAAACUGCUUUCAAAACUGUUUUUCUUGAGUAGUGCAGAGGUAGGCGGAAUUCCCGGUGUAGCGGUGGAAUGCGUAGAUAUCGGGAGGAACACCAGUGGCGAAGGCGGCCUACUGGGCACCAACUGACGCUGAGGCUCGAAAGUGUGGGUAGCAACAGGAUUAGAUACCCUGGNAGUCCACACCGUAAACGAUGAUUACUAGGUGU